Molecule: unclassified non-coding RNA, 300 nt
Filed under: uncultured fungus
Lineage: Eukaryota; Fungi
Description: partial contains small subunit ribosomal RNA, internal transcribed spacer 1, and 5.8S ribosomal RNA
Rfam family: Eukaryotic small subunit ribosomal RNA (bases 1-73)
Source: RNAcentral
CCAAACUUGGUCAUUUAGAGGAAGUAAAAGUCGUAACAAGGUCUCCGUUGGUGAACCAGCGGAGGGAUCAUUAAAGAGUUUAUAACUCCCAAACCCCAUGUGAACAUACCUAACGUUGCCUCGGCGGGUCGUACCUACCCUGUAUUGCACUUACCUGUAAGUGCCUACCCGGUAGGCACGGGUAAGCCCGCCGGCGCCCCAUUAAACUCUGUUUAAUUACUGGAUAUCUGAAUUAUAACUAAAUAAGUUAAAACUUUCAACAACGGAUCUCUUGGUUCUGGCAUCGAUGAAGAACGCAGC